Molecule: ribosomal RNA, 253 nt
Filed under: uncultured bacterium
Lineage: Bacteria
Description: partial 16S ribosomal RNA
Rfam family: Bacterial small subunit ribosomal RNA
Source: RNAcentral
UACGAAGGGGGCUAGCGUUGCUCGGAAUCACUGGGCGUAAAGGGUGCGUAGGCGGGCCUUUAAGUCAGGGGUGAAAUCCUGGAGCUCAACUCCAGAACUGCCUUUGAUACUGAAGAUCUUGAGUUCGGGAGAGGUGAGUGGAACUGCGAGUGUAGAGGUGAAAUUCGUAGAUAUUAGGAAGAACACCAGUGGCGAAGGCGGCUCACUGGCCCGGUACUGACGCUGAGGCGCGAAAGCGUGGGGAGCAAACAGG